This 1375-nucleotide long non-coding RNA is filed under the name Chrysemys picta bellii (western painted turtle). Its description in RNAcentral is "lncRNA (ENSCPBG00000004613.1)". The record is from RNAcentral. Lineage: Eukaryota; Metazoa; Chordata; Testudines; Emydidae.
CUCCGAGCAGCGAUCUCUGGCCCUAGCCUAAGCUACCAGAGCGGAGCCGAGACUGUACCGGGAGGACAGCAGUCGGGCAGCCUCUUUUCCUGCAUUGCAUUGCAAAGGGGGUGGGGGAGAAUUGCAACAGAAGAGCCCGUUUUCCAGCGUUGCAAAGGGGGAGGGAUGCCGCGGGGGGGCGUUUUCCUGCAUUGCUCGCGCGUGGUGUGCUUGAGAGAGACCGCGAGAAAGACAAGGGGACUGGCCGCCCGUUUUCCUGCAUUGCAACGGGGGGAGGGAUUGCAGCCGGGGAGCCGGUUUUCCUGCAUUGCACAGGGGUUUUGGAAUCCGGACUCUUGGAGUGAGAUUCUGUGCUGGGCCUCCAAGGAGAUGUAGCACUGACAGCCCCAGCCAGGGGGAGGUGGGGGCAAAGGUGAGCUUAAGAUACUUGAACGCAUCCUUCCAUCAGGUGUAGCAGGUGCUCCGCGCCUGAGAAUCUGGCCCAUACAAUGUCACCAUUAUCCAUCUGCGAUACAGUGUCACCAUUACACAGUGAAUCUAUUAGCAGAAUUGUAGAACAUGUAUUUCCAAAGUUAUAGAGGUCUAGAGUAACAACUACCGUUAAAAAUCGUGGCCAGGUCCUCAACUGAUGUAAAUUAAUAUAGUCCCAUUUAAGUCAAGUGAGCUACACUGUUUUACACCCCGGAGGCUUGGUUCCACAUUUAAAGAAAAAAGCAAUUUCUUUUACUAAUAAUACUUCAGAUAAACAUAGCUGGAAGAAUUGGGCAAGCUCACUUCCUUUUCAUCAUGGGUGCUGUUUCCUUACAUUAUACUGUAUUAUUCUCCCUUUAGAGAAUGAUGCUGCGUAGGUCACUUUCACUUUUGUUUCUAGUGAGUUUCAUUUUCUGGUUCUGAUGCACUAGCACUUCGUUUUUGUGUUUGAAUUCACAGCACAGCUGGGAUAUGUUCACGUUCCCCUCUGUCCUCCCCCAACCUUGCCCCUCCCAUCAUCUUUCCCCCUACCCCAAAAAUUCAUUGAAUUUAAAAAAAAAUGAAAUUUCCAUCUAUUAGAUUUUAAAGUCUGAAUUUUGUUUAGCAAACUAAAUCUGAGGAAUUAACUAAUUUUUAAUGCCCCUUUAAAUAAUCAAGAGACUCAUGCUUUCAUCCUAUCAGCUGGAAGGCUAGGGGUGCAAGAUUUUCAGAAGCGUCUGAUGAUUUUGGGUAUUUCCUUUUUUGAGUGCCCAAACUGAGUUGCUUUAAAGGGGCCUGAUGUUCAGAAAGUGCUCAGCACCCUCCAAAAAUAUGGCCCCUUUAAGAUGUCUCGGUUGAGCACCCAAAAAUGGAGACACUCAAAAUCACCGGCCUCUUGAAAUCUUGACCAUGUGUUAGUACAGGC